RNAcentral lists this ribosomal RNA (200 nucleotides) under uncultured bacterium. Its description in RNAcentral is "partial 16S ribosomal RNA". It matches the Rfam family "Bacterial small subunit ribosomal RNA", at positions 524 to 723 of the family's 1533-position model. The record is from RNAcentral.
UACAGAGGGUGCAAGCGUUAAUCGGAAUUAUUGGGCGUAAAGGGCGCGUAGGUGGACUAGUGUGUCGGAUGUGAAAGCCCCAGGCUCAACCUGGGAAUGUCAUCCGAAACUGCUAAUCUAGAGUACAGUAGAGGGAAGUGGAAUUUCCGGUGUAGCGGUGGAAUGCAUAGAUAUCGGAAGGAACAUCAGUGGCGAAGGCG